UUUUGCCUGAUGACUGAAUCUCAAACCAAUCUAUGAAGGACAAACCUAGCCUUACCUUAUGCAGCACCAAUAAACUCUUCUUUAAUACAACUCACCUCAUCCUCCCUUUUUCUCAUAAAAACCCUAAACGUCUCCCCUGUAAUUGGGAUACUGCUUGGGGUUUCCACCUGAAUCUGUGAUCCCUGAAUUGCAAUUCUUUGACCCCAAUCAAAUGCUUCACCUAUCAAACUGGUUUCUGUUUUUGUAGGUUGACACAGCAAAAUCAAAGAAAAGGAGAAAUUCAUUUUCAUAGAAGUAUGGUGUAGCUGGUGUCCAGUGCUGGAGCACCAUCAACCACAAGGGAUUGUAUACUCACAUUAUUUACAUCAUUCUGAUUAGAGUGUGCUUAUGAACCAUUUUAUAAAGGCAAACUACAAAAGUGUCAGAGUCUCUUCCCGCAUCACUGUCAUCUUUAAUAUUAUCGUGAUUCUGGAGAUACAGGAAGCGUGAACCAAUGGAGACUUUCUUCAAGGUGCUGCUGUUUCAACAACUCAACCUUGACUUUUCUUUGGGAAGAGUGCUGAUUGUGGUUUGUGUUAAG
RNAcentral lists this long non-coding RNA (580 nucleotides) under Equus caballus (horse). RNAcentral's name for it is "lncRNA (ENSECAG00000035373.3)". The record is from RNAcentral. Lineage: Eukaryota; Metazoa; Chordata; Mammalia; Perissodactyla; Equidae.